CCUACGGGUGGCAGCAGUGGGGAAUAUUGCACAACGGGGGGAACCCUGAUGCAGCGACGCCGCGUGAGUGAAGAAGUAUUUCGGUAUGUAAAGCUCUAUCAGCAGGGAAGAAAAUGACGGUACCUGACUAAGAAGCCCCGGCUAACUACGUGCCAGCAGCCGCGGUAAUACGUAGGGGGCAAGCGUUAUCCGGAUUUACUGGGUGUAAAGGGAGCGUAGACGGUAGCGCAAGUCUGGAGUGAAAGGCGGGGGCCCAACCCCCGGACUGCUUUGGAAACUGCGAUGCUAGAGUGCAGGAGAGGUAAGCGGAAUUCCUAGUGUAGCGGUGAAAUGCGUAGAUAUUAGGAGGAACACCAGUGGCGAAGGCGGCUUACUGGACAGUAACUGACGUUGAGGCUCGAAAGCGUGGGGAGCAAACAGGAUUAGAUACCCUGGUAGUC
Molecule: ribosomal RNA, 440 nt
Filed under: uncultured bacterium
Lineage: Bacteria
Description: partial 16S ribosomal RNA
Rfam family: Bacterial small subunit ribosomal RNA
Source: RNAcentral